Long non-coding RNA from Entelurus aequoreus (snake pipefish), 5070 nucleotides. RefSeq lists it as uncharacterized. The transcript has 3 exons. NCBI's taxonomy places the organism in Eukaryota, Metazoa, Chordata, Actinopteri, Syngnathiformes, Syngnathidae. The record is from RefSeq and is a predicted model, not a curated record.
GUUUGCCGUGGACUGUGUGUGACGCCCUGUUUUUGUUUUUUUCCAAAAAAAGGUAGGUCUGUUAUGGGGUUUUUUUGGCAUAGUUUAUUGUAUAAAAAAUAUAAAAAGAAUUGAUGUGGGUGGGAAAGAUGAGGUGUAUUGCUGCACAUUUAAGGAUCCUUUUUCUUAAUAUAUAUUGUUAUUUGCUGAAGUAUAUAUUUUAUAUACUGUGUUUUAUUUAAUUAAUUUAUUUCAGACCAUUUUAUGCUUUAUUUACCUUUAUUAUUAUUAUUAUUAUUAUUAUUAUUAUUAUUAUUAUUAUUAUUAUUAUUAUUAUUUCCAUUUCCACAUUUAAACAUAUAUAAUUGAAUUGAGUGAGCACUGACGCUCGGAGCUGUGGAGAGAGAUUCUGUUUGCCGUGGACUGUGUGUGACGCCCUGUUUUUGUUUUUUUCCAAAAAAAGGUGAAUAAAUCCCCAUGAUUCAACUCCGGUGUGUGCGCCUCACUAAAAAGAUACACAACGCAGAACAACAGCCUCGUGCGAAAUGUUCUCUGCCACAACGCCAACAUGAUGAUGAUGAUGGUGUUAAAGAUGUAUUUACUGCCACUAAAUGACUUCUUACUUUUUCUUCCUUCCUCUUUUUCUCUUUGCAACAAUUUUCUUUAUCUGCUAACUUACUAUUAAUUUAAUAGUAGGUUAGUAGCAUUGUAUUAGUAAUAGUGAUACUAAUAAUAUAGUUAUAGAUAUAUAGUUAUGGUUAAUGUCAGCCUAAAACAGAAAGACACCAACGUUAUUAUUAUUUAUUUUAUUAGGGAUGCAAAGUAUUUCUUGUUCAAGACAAUACUGAUCAUUUAUUUAAAACAAUUUAAACAACAUCUACAUACAGUAUAUUACGAUAGACAUGUAAUCAAUGUCACAAAAAAAAAACUUCCAUAAAACGUUUGGCCAUUUUUUUUUUCUCUUCUUCUUCGUGGAAAGCAAGCAGAAGAUGCAAAGCAAGGUUGGUUGCAUGAACACAGGCACUCACUCUCUGGUAACCGACCAAAACAUGUUUACAAUUGAUCUAUUUUUCUCCUUUUCAUCUUUUCAUCUCACUUCAAACAAUUUAACAUUAAAACAUGACAAAAUAGUGAUUUCAUUCAUAUACAUACGAUGUAUCUUAAUAUGUUUUUCUUACCAUAUUGCUCAACUCUACUUUUAACCUAAUUUAACCAAACAAAUACUUUCCAGUCAGAUUUUUUUUUACAUUUGAACUGCGGGUUCUGAGUUUAAAGGCCUACUGAAAGCCACUACUACCGACCACGCAGUCUGAUAGUUUAUAUAUCAAUGAUGAAAUCUUAGCAUUGCAACACAUGCCAAUACGGCCGGGUUAACUUAUAAAGUGCCAUUUUAAAUUUCCCGUGAAACUUUCGGUUGAAGUCAAUGGUUGAAACAGAAGUAUUGGGACACAUUGUAUCCCAAUACAAACAGCUCUGUUUUCAUCGCAAAAUUCCACAGUAUUCUGGACAUCUGUGUUGGUGAAUCUUUUGCAAUUUGUUUAAUGAACAAUGGAGACUGCAAAGAAGAAAGCUGUAGGUGGGAUCGGUGUAUUAGCGGCUGGCUGCAGCAACACAACCAGGAGGACUUUGACUUGGAUAGCAGACGCGCUAUCCGACGCUAGCCGCCGACCGCAUCGAUGAUCGGGUGAAGUCCUUCGUCACGCCGUCGAUCGCUGGAACGCAGGUGAGCACGGGUGUUGUUGAGCAGAUAAGGGCUGGCGUACGUGGAGCGCUAAUGUUUUUAUCAUAGCUCUGACGAGGUCCCAUAGCUAAGUUAGCUUCAAUGGCGUCGUUAGCAACAGCAUUGCUAGGCUUCGACAGGCGGCACAGCAUUAACCGUGUAGUUACAUGUCCAGUGUUUGGUUCCGUGUCUCCUGAUAGUAGUAUUGUUGAUCUUCUGUCUAUCCUUCCAGUCAGGGGCUUAUUUCUUUUGUUUCUAUCUGCAUUUAAGCACGAUGCUAUCACGUUAGCUCCGUAGCUAUAGUGCUUCACUGAUGUAUUGUCAUGGAGAUAAAAAUCACUGUGAAUGUCCAUUUCGCGUUCUCGACUCUCAUUUUCAAGAGGAUAUAGUAUCCCAGGUGGUUUAAAAUACAAAUCGUGAUCCACAAUAGAAAAAGGAGAAAGUGUGGAAUCUAGUGAGCCAGCUUGUACCUAAGUUACGGUCAGAGUGAAAAAAGAUACGUCCUGGUUUCUUCCGUGAACCAGGGGGUGUGCCUCUUAGGGGCCUUUUUCAGUUUUAGCGGUGCUAUACUAUCAAUGGCAUUAAAGUCAACAUUAAAGUCGUUGGUAAGGCUAUCGAUAGAGUCCACAUCAUUUUGGAACGCUGCCAUUAACGAGUGCCAGAGUGAGUCGUGGUUUUAGCAACAUUAAUGCUACGACUGCUAAAGCAUUGGUUAUUAUCAGAAUAUUGACAAUGGGUCAGAACUUCAAAUUUUAUGAGGUAGGGAUCGGGCAUGACUUUGGAGCACAGGAGUACGACAACUUUAAAAGUGGCAACACCCCGGACUAGAACCAGAUCAAUCGUAUUACCGUUGCGAUGUGUGGGUUCAUGUAUUUGUGUAAGACCACAACUGUCAAUUAUAUUAUCAAUUAUAACGCCACGCUCGGAGGGUCGGAGGGUUAUCCUCUGUUCCUUUGUCUGUGCAUAAGUAAAGUAUUUGUAUUAUUUUCUCUCAGUGUUAGACAUUCCAACACAGGAAGUGAAAAUAUGAAUAUUUUAAAACAACUUUGUUGUUCAUGGUCAAGAUGGCCGUCACAGCGCGUCUUCUGCUUGAAUGUUCUCAUAGUCGCCAUGGUCCAGCUGCUGACAAGAGGACACAUGAUGACAGUGAGACUGGAUUCAUGACACCAGAACCAACAAGAUGUCACCUCUGCAGUCUGGACGAGCUCAUUUGGAUCUGCGGUGGACGAGGGAGACGUUGUCGUCCUGCGUUUGGAAAAUAAACAAGACCUGCUGAGCUUGUCCAGUAAAGUAAACCAGUAAACACCUUUAGCAUCAUGUUCAUGUUAACAAAAACAUGAUACGUUUUUACCAAAUUACAUUUCUGCUUGUGGGUUAAUUGUGUUACAAUGUUCAAUCAUAUUAAUGAUGAUGGAUUAAUCUGCAUUAAAGCGUUCAUUUUGACAGUCCUACUUUUUACCUGAAGUGCAGAGUCAGGAUGAUCAGGAUGCCCACGAACACAACAGCAGAACAGAACAGCCUGAUGAUGUUUAUCGUUCUACAGGACAUUCCUACACAUGGACAUACAGUAGAUGUCUUCAGGAGACACAGAUGUGUUUUGGACAUGAGGGGUCUUACCAUUCACGCUCACAUGCACACCAAUGAUGUGGCGCCCCCUGCUGUUGUUGGCCUCACAGUAAUAAUCAUGGCCACCCUGCUCUGUGAUGUUCCUGAUGGUGUAGCUGGCGGCCGGGUUAGCAUCGCUGCUGCAGGUCAGAGUCCCGAACUGUCCCUCAUGGACAGACAAAGAGAGUGACCAGGGAGGAUCUGAGGAACAGGACAUUGUCCUCUUCAGUGUCACCACACGUCUUCAAGACGUAGAUGUACUCACAGUGGACAUCAAUGAAGACGGGUUCUGAUGUCUUCUUCCCCAGCUGGUUCUCCACAGUACACCAAUACUCUGCUGAGUCUGAAGAGUUGAUGGGCUUGAAGACCAGUUGUCGACCUUUUCUGAGGACUUCAUCAUCUGAAGACACAUUCUUCUUCUUCUUGUACCAGCAGUAAUCAACUGUUGCUGAGGAGUAGUCGAAGUUGUCGAUGUAGCAGGUCAGUGUCAGUGGACGACCCUCCAAUAUGUCACCAGUAUGACUCAGAGACACUGAGGGUCUUUUCAGAACAUCUGGAGGAAGAACAAACAAGUUUUAAACAAACACCUUCUUCUUCUUUUCAGCACAGACAAAACAUGAGUCAGUAAAGCAGCAGCAGACCUCCACCAAGGCGCCAGUGCACAUUACACUUGACAGUGCAUCAUAGUACACAUGCAGCGCCAUCUGCUGGAUCUGGUGGCUCACUGCCUCACUUUGCACUAAUGCCAGACCACAGGGGGACCCCAAAGUCCAAACAUACACGCAUGAUGUACGUAUAAUAUCUGUGUAAUAUACAUACUGCACACAAAAAACAUCCCAUUUAAUUUGUAUCUAUUCAAAGAAAUAAAACCUUUUUUAUUUUUUUAUUCAUACAUUUAUAUAGAAUAACAAAUGUUGCAAAUAUGCAAAGAAUGUUUAGUAAUGUAUAAAUAUUUCUUUACAAGAAGUAUUUUAUAGUCAAUACAGAGUAGUGAUCCAAUGAAAGGUUCAUGUCUCGUAAUUUUUAAAGUGCUGUUUUUCUGCCGCCUCUCCCUGUCCGUCACAGUGCCCUAUGAAGUCUACCUAGCAACAAGUGCGACGUAAGCAGGAAUACAAACAAAUGUGUUGACUUGUUGCUGCUUCUGCUAGCUGGCUAAACGUGUUCAUCAGCUGGGAGUUCAUUUCAAUUGGUUUGUGUUGUUUACUACUCCGUAGUUGGAAUAGAAACGAGAAAGAUUUGUGUUGUUUUCCUACUGAAGUGCUUUGUAGCGCACCAUGUUUUUCUGGAAGAAAGAAGCACUCACACAGGUGAGGAGAGAUGCUGAUAUGUUGAUGUUGUUGUGCAGCACAGGUGAUGUAGUCUCCAGGUGACAAGGUGACUUCUACUUUGGUUCCAUACUUUAUAACCUCUCCAUUCUGCUGCCACACAAAAGACAAAGUAGCUUCUAGAAGGCAGCUUGUGUGACACAACAUUUGUGCAACAAGGUGAGAAUCUUCAACUGUGACUGACAUCACCUGCACCUGCACAGCUGGAGGCCAGAGGAGCAAACAUGAAACAUGUCAUAUUAAUAUUCAUUUUAGAUGCAAGUCACACAACAUACACACAUGACUGCUUCAUCUGGAACACCACUGUCCAAAGUCCAGUUUGCAGCCCACAGCUUGCUUUUGAUUGGCUGCUGACUUAUUUCUAAAUAAAAUUACACCUGACCCGCAUUCAAACACUAGAAAAGAUUAGUGACUUGGCAGAAAAUUCAAAGAUAAUGUAAU